GUAUACAGUAAAAUGUAACAAUUAAACCAAUUAUAUUUAAUAAAUCGAGUAUGUGUAAAACUGAUCAUGAAAAAUAUCAGAUUUAAAGCAGGAAUCAAAUGACUUUACCUAAAUAAUUAGAAAGCUAACUUUUAAAAAUGUACUAUUAUCAGAACCGUAGCAGAGAGGAUAUUGCGCCAUUGGAAUAUUUUGAGACAGUUAUUAAAAUUAGUAUGCAAAUCAAUAAAUUAAUAUACAAAUCAGUGAUU
Pelobates cultripes (western spadefoot toad) is the source of this 248-nucleotide non-coding RNA. Lineage: Eukaryota; Metazoa; Chordata; Amphibia; Anura; Pelobatidae. The record is from the annotation of a GenBank genome assembly.